GAAGCGGAAGUGGGUUGCUGUUGAGGCGGCGGCGUCUUUCUCGAGGGGCUCUCCUGGGCUUCUGAAGAAGGAGCCUCUCUGGAGUGCGGCGGAGGCGGCGCCUGCGAACCUAACUAGCUCCAGGUUAGGCCGGGCUUUGCGGGAAAGCAGCGAGAAAGCGUCGUGGUGGAGCAAUAAAUUCUAGACAAGCCCAGAAGCGAACUCGGGAAGCAACCUCCACCCCAGAGAUUUCCUUGGAAGCAGAACCCAUAGAACUCGUGGAAACUGCUGGAGAUGAAAUUGUGGACCUCACUUGUGAAUCUUUAGAGCCUGUGGUGGUUGAUCUGACUCACAAUGACUCUGUUGUGAUUGUUGACGAAAGAAGAAGACCGAGGAGGAAUGCUAGGAGGCUGCCCCAGGACCAUGCUGACAGCUGCGUGGUGAGCAGUGACGAUGAGGAGUUGUCCAGGGACAGAGACGUGUAUGUGACUACCCACACUCCCAGAAAUGCCAGGGAUGAGGGCGCUGCAGGCCUCAGGCCCUCGGGUACUGUCAGUUGUCCUAUCUGCAUGGACGGAUACUCAGAG
RNAcentral lists this small RNA (566 nucleotides) under Pongo abelii (Sumatran orangutan). RNAcentral describes it as "processed transcript". The record is from RNAcentral. Lineage: Eukaryota; Metazoa; Chordata; Mammalia; Primates; Hominidae.